RNAcentral lists this ribosomal RNA (366 nucleotides) under Pachychalina sp. GPM-2011. Its description in RNAcentral is "eukaryotic LSU rRNA". It matches the Rfam family "Eukaryotic large subunit ribosomal RNA", at positions 16 to 352 of the family's 3401-position model. Lineage: Eukaryota; Metazoa; Porifera; Demospongiae; Haplosclerida; Niphatidae. The record is from RNAcentral.
UAGGUCGACCCGCUGAACUUAAGCAUAUCAAUAAGCGGAGGAAGAGAAACCAACAGGGAUUCCCUCAGUAACGGCGAGCGAAGUGGGAAGGUGCCCAGGUCUGGAAUCUCCGGUCGGGCYGAGAACGACCGGCGAAUUGUGGUCUGGAGAGACGGACUGUUCCCUUCCACCGCUCCGGACGGGCCCGAAGUCGACUUGGAACGGCGUGCCGGAGAGGGUGAGAGCCCCGUAGGGCCGGGAAACCGAGAGCGGGGGGACGAGGGUCCGUACUCGUCGAGUCGGGUUGUUUGGGAGUGCAGCCCAAAGCGGGUGGUAGACUCCAUCCAAGGCUGAAUACGGSCGCGAGACCGAUAGCGAACAAGUACC